GCGAGGGUGGUGGAACUGGCAGACACGCGAGACUUAGGAUCUCGUGCCUCAGGCGUAGGGGUUCGAUUCCCCUCCCUCGCACCA
This 84-nucleotide transfer RNA is filed under the name Synergistaceae bacterium. RNAcentral's name for it is "tRNA-Leu". It matches the Rfam family "tRNA". From Rfam's summary of the family: Transfer RNA (tRNA) molecules are approximately 80 nucleotides in length. The record is from RNAcentral. Lineage: Bacteria; Thermotogati; Synergistota; Synergistia; Synergistales; Synergistaceae.